RNAcentral lists this long non-coding RNA (1526 nucleotides) under Astyanax mexicanus (Mexican tetra). RNAcentral describes it as "lncRNA (ENSAMXG00005000753.1)". Lineage: Eukaryota; Metazoa; Chordata; Actinopteri; Characiformes; Acestrorhamphidae. The record is from RNAcentral.
UUUUUUUAUUUCACAUACAAGGGGUUAAUUAUUAAAGGUUUUUUAUGUACCUGAUUGACCUGUUUGUAGUAAAGAGAUGCUGAAGGAGCUGCAGCAGGACUGUAAUCAGAUUCUGGAGAAGAUCAGAGUAAAUGAAGAACAGAGGAAGCAGAUCAGUGCAGAACUUACACUGUGGUUUACUCAGCUGACAAACACCAAAACCAGACUGGAGGAGCUGGAGCAGCAAACCUUCAGACAGGAGCAGAGAAACCGGGAGGAAACUGAAAAACUGAAGAUUGAGCUGAUGAGUGAGAUGAAUGAGGCGGCAGUUCUCAAGGGUAAUAUUUCCUCGAGUUUGGAAGAAUAUAAUCUGCUGAAAGCAGCCAAUCAGAGAGAGGAAGCUGAUCUGAAGGAGGAAUAUGAAGCUGUAUUCUCUGCUGCUGCUCAGCUGGAGAGUGAGGUGCUUCAGCGUAAAGAGAUGCAGACUGAGAAAAGUGUGGCUCUGGAACGUAAACUGAACGACAUUCUGACUAAACGUAAAAUCCUGUCUGAUGAUCUGGAAAAGCAGAAGAGCGUCUGUCUGCAGCAGCUGGAUUCAGAACAGAGAGCCUUCAGUGCUGUUUCAGUGAGCAGUGAACAGACGUCCUGCAGGAUUGAGGAGCUCAGGAUAAGGUCUGAAGAACACAGAGAAGAAUCAGAAAGAAUGGAAGAAAUCAUUACCAGCGUGCCUCAUGAUAUAGAGGAGCUACAGAACACGUACGAGGUGGUGGAGUAUAAGCUUAAAACAGUGAGUGAGAUGAUGAACAGAGUGCAGUGUGAUGUAGAGAACUGCAGAAACAGAAACAGACGUUCUGAGGAAACCUUUUCUACACUUCUCUCCCAGCGGCGGGAUGUUAUGCUGAAUAUUGAGGCUAAUUUGGAGAAAGCUCUAAAAGAGAACGGAGAGCUGGCUCAGGAGUACAGAGCUCUGCAGAAAGCUCUGCUGAUCUCCAGACGAGAAGCUUCCUGCGCUUUACUCCAGAAAAACACAGCUCAGGCCUCUCUCCAUGAUUACAAACAGCUUUCAUUGUUGCAGAGGAGGAUGCAGGAAGACAUGCUGGAAAACUUCGAACACCGCAGCGUCUACAGCCAGGCUGAGCUGGCCCGCUGCCAGGCCCUCUCCAACGAGAACAACCAGAAAAUGAAAGCCCUCCAGGUAUGGGCUGUUUACCACACACACACACACACACACACACACACACACACACUCAAACACACACACACACUCUUUUAAAUACACACAAACACACACACACAAAAGCAGCUAUUUGUGUUAAAGCUAAGAGCACAAUGUGUGUGUAUUCACACACACAACAACAGCCACUUAGCUCAGGCGAAUUAAGGAUGAUUUAGUGUAAGAGAUCCUACUUUUCAAGAUUCAAGAUUUUUAUUGUCACGUCACAGAGUACAGGUAUACAUGUGAGUGAAAAACUUGGGUGCAGAUUCCCACCAAUGUGCAGAGAAUAAUAUUUACAAUAAGAGUAAUAAAAUAAAAUAUAGUAUAAAAU